AGGGCCUCGUUUAAGGACUGACCUUGGAUCUGUUUCAGGUUUCGUGUGAUAUACUCUGCAGCUGCGUUAUCUGGUUCUGAUCUGUGCAUUAUAACGUAACUUACUUAUGGAGUAUAAUGAAGCGUUUGAGCGUUUGAUAUUUUUCUUCGUAUGCUUCAUUGUCAUUGCCUAAUAAUUUUUUAAACAACCUGUAAACACGGUUAUAUAAGAAUUUUGGUCUUUAUUGCUUUGUGGAUUUGGGAAAAACUGAUAGAGCUCAAAAGAUUACACGCUACCAUCAUCUACAUUACACAACGGACUGAUGCAACUUCAGAGCUUGCCCGAAGUUAUUUCUCCAAGUUCCUGAUCCUUCAUGCUUCAGACGGCAUCGCAUUUUGCAUUUAGAGGAUGAUUUCAUAAUUAAGAAAAGUGUGGUCGUCUGCCCCAGCAGUGAUGCUACCAUUUUCAAAAGUCUUCAUUCACACUAAUUUCGUAAAAGGCUCCAUUUAAAAGCCAAUCAACAUAUUGCUGAUUUUACACCA
This is a long non-coding RNA of Brienomyrus brachyistius, 521 nucleotides long. RefSeq lists it as uncharacterized. The record is from RefSeq and is a predicted model, not a curated record. The transcript has 3 exons. NCBI's taxonomy places the organism in Eukaryota, Metazoa, Chordata, Actinopteri, Osteoglossiformes, Mormyridae.